This 669-nucleotide ribosomal RNA is filed under the name Bacillus sp. 13561. RNAcentral describes it as "bacterial SSU rRNA". It matches the Rfam family "Bacterial small subunit ribosomal RNA", at positions 66 to 715 of the family's 1533-position model. The record is from RNAcentral. Lineage: Bacteria; Bacillati; Bacillota; Bacilli; Caryophanales; Bacillaceae.
GCGAAUGGAUUAAGAGCUUGCUCUUAUGAAGUUAGCGGCGGACGGGUGAGUAACACGUGGGUAACCUGCCCAUAAGACUGGGAUAACUCCGGGAAACCGGGGCUAAUACCGGAUAAUAUUUUGAACUGCAUGGUUCGAAAUUGAAAGGCGGCUUCGGCUGUCACUUAUGGAUGGACCCGCGUCGCAUUAGCUAGUUGGUGAGGUAACGGCUCACCAAGGCAACGAUGCGUAGCCGACCUGAGAGGGUGAUCGGCCACACUGGGACUGAGACACGGCCCAGACUCCUACGGGAGGCAGCAGUAGGGAAUCUUCCGCAAUGGACGAAAGUCUGACGGAGCAACGCCGCGUGAGUGAUGAAGGCUUUCGGGUCGUAAAACUCUGUUGUUAGGGAAGAACAAGUGCUAGUUGAAUAAGCUGGCACCUUGACGGUACCUAACCAGAAAGCCACGGCUAACUACGUGCCAGCAGCCGCGGUAAUACGUAGGUGGCAAGCGUUAUCCGGAAUUAUUGGGCGUAAAGCGCGCGCAGGUGGUUUCUUAAGUCUGAUGUGAAAGCCCACGGCUCAACCGUGGAGGGUCAUUGGAAACUGGGAGACUUGAGUGCAGAAGAGGAAAGUGGAAUUCCAUGUGUAGCGGUGAAAUGCGUAGAGAUAUGGAGGAACACCAGUGG